GAAAUGCGAUACGUAAUGCGAAUUGCAGAAUUCAGUGAAUCAUCAAAUCUUUGAACGCAAAUGGCGCUCGUGGGACAUCCCUACGAGCAUGCCUCUUUGAGUAUCGGUUCUACCUCAUCUCGACAGCGUGCUGCAAAGCAAAGUGCGUCGGAAAAUGAGUUGUCUCAGUUUUAAUCGACUGAGUCACUUUAAAUAUAGAGAUGAACCUUGGAUUUUCCCACUUAAUUGGGAGAUGACGCAAGAUAAUUCACUCGCAAGAGUGUUUAAAAACCUUCGUCGCUCCUGAGGGAAGUGUCCGGUUUUGAUCAAAAACAACUUUUCAGAAUAAGAUCUCAAAUGAAGCAAGAAUACCCGCCGAAUUUAA
RNAcentral lists this unclassified non-coding RNA (364 nucleotides) under uncultured fungus. Its description in RNAcentral is "sequence contains ITS1". The stretch from base 1 to 106 matches the Rfam family "5.8S ribosomal RNA", at positions 50 to 154 of the family's 154-position model. The record is from RNAcentral. Lineage: Eukaryota; Fungi.